UAGCCGUAAACGAUACUCGCUAGGUGUCGGCCACGGUGCGACCGUUGUCGGUGCCGUAGGGAAGCCGUGAAGCGAGCCACCUGGGAAGUACGGCCGCAAGGCUGAAACUUAAAGGAAUUGGCGGGGGAGCACCGCAACGGGAGGAGCGUGCGGUUCAAUUGGAUUCAACGCCGGACAACUCACCAGGAGCGACGGUUACAUGAAGGCCAGGCUGAUGACCUUGCCGGAUUAGCUGAGAGGAGGUGCAUGGCGUAGUCGUGU
Molecule: ribosomal RNA, 261 nt
Filed under: uncultured archaeon
Lineage: Archaea
Description: partial 16S ribosomal RNA
Rfam family: Archaeal small subunit ribosomal RNA
Source: RNAcentral